GAGUUUGAUCAUGGCUCAGGAUGAACGCUGGCGGCGUGCCUAACACAUGCAAGUCGAACGAAGCACUAGACAUGAAGCCUUCGGGCCAAGCGACUAGUGACUUAGUGGCGGAUGGGUGAGUAACGCGUGGGUAACCUGCCUUACACAGGGGGAUAACAACCGGAAACGGUUGCUAAAACCGCAUGAUGUAUGAACAUCGCAUGAUGAUCAUAUUAAAUAUUUAUAGGUGUAAGAUGGGCCCGCGUCUGAUUAGCUAGUUGGUGGAGUAAAAGCCUACCAAGGCGAUGAUCAGUAGCCGGCUUGAGAGAGUGACCGGCCACAUUGGGACUGAGACACGGCCCAAACUCCUACGGGAGGCAGCAGUGGGGAAUCUUGCACAAUGGGCGAAAGCCUGAUGCAGCGACGCCGCGUGAGUGAAGAAGUACCUCGGUAUGUAAAGCUCUAUCAGCAGGGACGAUAAUGACGGUACCU
This 471-nucleotide ribosomal RNA is filed under the name uncultured bacterium. Its description in RNAcentral is "bacterial SSU rRNA". It matches the Rfam family "Bacterial small subunit ribosomal RNA", at positions 9 to 480 of the family's 1533-position model. The record is from RNAcentral.